GUAGCUUAGUGGCAGAGCAUGUGUUUGGCAUGCUUGAGGCCCUGGGUUCAAUUCCCAGC
Molecule: transfer RNA, 59 nt
Filed under: Fukomys damarensis (Damara mole-rat)
Lineage: Eukaryota; Metazoa; Chordata; Mammalia; Rodentia; Bathyergidae
Rfam family: tRNA
About the family: Transfer RNA (tRNA) molecules are approximately 80 nucleotides in length. Their secondary structure includes four short double-helical elements and three loops (D, anti-codon, and T loops). Further hydrogen bonds mediate the characteristic L-shaped molecular structure. tRNAs have two regions of fundamental functional importance: the anti-codon, which is responsible for specific mRNA codon recognition, and the 3' end, to which the tRNAs corresponding amino acid is attached (by aminoacyl-tRNA synthetases). tRNAs cope with the degeneracy of the genetic code in two manners: having more than one tRNA (with a specific anti-codon) for a particular amino acid; and 'wobble' base-pairing, i.e. permitting non-standard base-pairing at the 3rd anti-codon position.
Source: Rfam by way of RNAcentral